This is a transfer RNA of Toxocara canis (dog roundworm), 71 nucleotides long. It matches the Rfam family "tRNA". Rfam says of the family: Transfer RNA (tRNA) molecules are approximately 80 nucleotides in length. Their secondary structure includes four short double-helical elements and three loops (D, anti-codon, and T loops). Further hydrogen bonds mediate the characteristic L-shaped molecular structure. tRNAs have two regions of fundamental functional importance: the anti-codon, which is responsible for specific mRNA codon recognition, and the 3' end, to which the tRNAs corresponding amino acid is attached (by aminoacyl-tRNA synthetases). tRNAs cope with the degeneracy of the genetic code in two manners: having more than one tRNA (with a specific anti-codon) for a particular amino acid; and 'wobble' base-pairing, i.e. permitting non-standard base-pairing at the 3rd anti-codon position. NCBI's taxonomy places the organism in Eukaryota, Metazoa, Nematoda, Chromadorea, Rhabditida, Toxocaridae. The record is from Rfam.
GCGGCAGUAGCUCAGUGGUAGCGCCCCGCUUCGCAUGCGGGGAGACCUGGGUUCGAUUCCCGGUUGCUUCC